RNAcentral lists this ribosomal RNA (1245 nucleotides) under metagenome. RNAcentral describes it as "bacterial LSU rRNA". It matches the Rfam family "Bacterial large subunit ribosomal RNA", at positions 1564 to 2818 of the family's 2925-position model. The record is from RNAcentral.
UGAAUACGAGAUGCUACGGCGUCGAAGCAGUGUAUGUCAGACUUCCAAGAAAAGCUCGCAAUGUCAUAAAUAAAGAAUGCCUGUACCAUAACCGACACAGGUGGGUAGGUAGAGUAUACUAAGGGGCGCGAGAUAACUCUCUCUAAGGAACUCGGCAAAAUAACUCCGUAACUUCGGGAGAAGGAGUGCCUUCUUUAAGAAGGUUGCAAUAACAAGAUCCAAGCAACUGUUUAUCAAAAACACAGGCCUCCGCUAAGUCGUAAGACGAUGUAUGGGGGCUGACGCCUGCCCAGUGCCAGAAGGUUAAAGAAGUUGGUUAGCUUUUGCGAAGCUGAUGACUGAAGCCCUGGUGAACGGCGGCCGUAACAAUAACGGUCCUAAGGUAGCGAAAUUCCUUGUCGGGUAAGUUCCGACCCGCACGAAAGGCGUAAUGAUUUGGAUACUGUCUCGGAGAGGGACUCGGUCAAAUAGACUUGUCUGUGAGGAUGCGGACUACCUGCACCAGGACAGAAAGACCCUAUGAAGCUUUACUGUAUCUUGAAAUUGAAAUUGGACUUUAUUUGCGCAGUAUAGGUGGAAGGCGUUGAAAGUAAUCUUGCGGGAUUAGUGGAGCCAUCAGUGAGAUACCACUCCUAUAAUGUUAGAUUUCUAACUUUGGAUCAUGAUCUGGUCAAAGAACAGUUUCAGGCGGGCAGUUUGACUGGGGCGGUCGCCUCCCAAAUGGUAACGGAGGCGUACAAAGGUUUCCUCUGAACGGGUAGAAAUCGUAUCUAGAGUGUAAAGGCAUAAGGAAGCUUGACUGUGAGACCUACAAGUCGAGCAGGGACGAAAGUCGGUCUUAGUGAUCUGACGGUGCUGAGUGGAAAGGCCGUCACUCAACGGAUAAAAGUUACUCUAGGAUAACAGGCUGAUCUCCCCCAAGAGUUCACAUCGACGGGGAGGUUUGGCACCUCGAUGUCGGCUCAUCGCAUCCUGGGGCGGUAGUACGUCCCAAGGGUUGGGCUGUUCGCCCAUGAAAGCGGUACGCGAGCUGGAUUCAGAACGUCGUGAGACAGUUCGGUCCAUAUCCGGUGUAGGCGUUAGAAUAUUGAGAGGAGCCUUCUUUAGUACGAGAGGACCGAGAAGGACAUACCUCUGGUGUACCAGUUAUCGUGCCAACGGUAAACGCUGGGUAGCUAUGUAUGGAGAGGAUAACCGCUGAAAGCAUCUAAGUGGGAAGCCCACCUCAAGAUGAGUAUUCUCAUC